This 376-nucleotide ribosomal RNA is filed under the name uncultured bacterium. RNAcentral's name for it is "bacterial SSU rRNA". It matches the Rfam family "Bacterial small subunit ribosomal RNA", at positions 524 to 898 of the family's 1533-position model. The record is from RNAcentral.
UACGUAGGGUGCGAGCGUUAAUCGGAAUUACUGGGCGUAAAGCGUGCGCAGGCGGCGCCGCAAGUCGAGUGUGAAAUCCCCGAGCUUAACUUGGGAAUUGCGCUCGAAACUACGGUGCUGGAGUAUGGCAGAGGGAGGUGGAAUUCCACGUGUAGCGGUGAAAUGCGUAGAGAUGUGGAGGAACACCGAUGGCGAAGGCAGCCUCCUGGGCCAAUACUGACGCUCAUGCACGAAAGCGUGGGGAGCAAACAGGAUUAGAUACCCUGGUAGUCCACGCCCUAAACGAUGAUGACUAGUUGUUGGGGGAGUUAAAUCCCUUAGUAACGCAGCUAACGCGUUAAGCAUUCCGCCUGGGGAGUACGGUCGCAAGGCUGAA